UGUUGAUUCAAUUUAUUUUCGGGUAUAUAUCAAAACAGCAUUCGCAUGUUUUCCAGAACUGUCCUGUUUUAGUAAAACGUUGAUAUCUCCCAAUUGAAAUAUCGGAUCAGUCCCAUUUUUUAAUAUGUUGUUCAUAAGAGUAUAUUCUAGCAUGUGUUAAAUUUUCACGUUUUUUGGAUGCUUCUAACUCUCAAAAUGAUAAUUAAAUCGUGGUUUUUUAUCAAAGCCCAUGUAAAGCCCGCAUAAGUCUAUAAGUAGACCCAUAUUUUCAUGUGAGCAGCCCCCUUUUCUUUUCCACAAACCCUAAAACGAAUAUCUUCAUAUAAAAUACACAUUUCCUUUGUUCUAACAAGCCCGGAUGCAAUUCAUUACGCUAAGAACUUGAUUUUUCAUCAUACUCGCAAGAUCUACGCGAUUUCUACGUUGUGUUCUUCGCUGGUGGCUUGUGGAUCCAAUUGAUUUCGGUCCAGCCCUUUGAACCUUGGGUUAAUACAUCAAUUAUAAUCUUGUCCAUCAUUCUUAGACCCGUCGAAUGCUCGUGCUUCGGAGUCUACGCAAGGUUAGCUGUUUGCCAAGAUUUCACGUGGAUAAGCAAGCAGUUUAUGAUUUGAAAGCUGGUCCACUCCGAUUCUUGAUUCUUGGAGGUUUUUAUGUCAAUAAAACUAGUCUGUUGUUUUAAACUCUUAGACCGCA
Molecule: long non-coding RNA, 693 nt
Organism: Mercurialis annua (annual mercury)
Lineage: Eukaryota; Viridiplantae; Streptophyta; Magnoliopsida; Malpighiales; Euphorbiaceae
Exons: 3
Source: RefSeq, a predicted model, not a curated record